GUUCAUGCAAUGAUCGAGGCGAGUACCCGGACAGAGGGCCCUUAGCGAGCCGGCGACGGUGGAAGGCCGGUGGGACGGAGUCCGGGGAAUGGGCUCGGGAGCAGCCUGCGGAACCGGAAGGUGUACGUACGGCCGGGAACUCCACCCGUUAUCAACGGAGGCGGUAUCGGACGGCAGUCCUGUACCGGCUGAGUGAAACCCGUUGUGGGUUUAACAUGGGUGGCACCGCGGAGGUUCCUUCGUCCCAGGG
Molecule: non-coding RNA, 250 nt
Filed under: Candidatus Hydrogenisulfobacillus filiaventi
Lineage: Bacteria; Bacillati; Bacillota; Clostridia; Eubacteriales; Clostridiales Family XVII. Incertae Sedis
Description: Firmicutes bacterium R50 T-box
Rfam family: T-box leader
About the family: Uncharged tRNA acts as the effector for transcription antitermination of genes in the T-box leader family.
Source: RNAcentral